Long non-coding RNA from Oxyura jamaicensis (ruddy duck), 171 nucleotides. RefSeq lists it as uncharacterized. The record is from RefSeq and is a predicted model, not a curated record. NCBI's taxonomy places the organism in Eukaryota, Metazoa, Chordata, Aves, Anseriformes, Anatidae. The transcript is spliced from 3 exons.
UCAGGCGUCGGGGAAUAGGGAAUAAAAGGUUAGGAGCUGGUUACUAAAAUGCACUCCUGAUUGACAGCACGCCCGCCACUGCAAUCGUGAAUAAAAUGGCUUCACAGAAGAUCCUGUCUGAAGAAAAUUAUUUGAGAUUUUUCUCACAUUCUUGCAGCACAGAGCUGUGUG